UACGGAGGGGGCAAGCGUUGUUCGGAUUUACUGGGUGUAAAGGGCGUGUAGGCGGGAAAUUAAGUCAGAUGUGAAAUUCCAUGGCUCAACCGGGGGAGUGCAUCUGAAACUGAUUUUCUUGAGUACUGGAGAGGUAGGCGGAAUUCCAAGUGUAGCGGUGAAAUGCGUAGAGAUUUGGAGGAACACCAGUGGCGAAGGCGGGUUUCUGGACAGUAACUGACGCUGAGGCGCGAAAGCGUGGGGAGCAAACAGG
RNAcentral lists this ribosomal RNA (253 nucleotides) under uncultured bacterium. RNAcentral's name for it is "partial 16S ribosomal RNA". It matches the Rfam family "Bacterial small subunit ribosomal RNA", at positions 524 to 776 of the family's 1533-position model. The record is from RNAcentral.